GAUAAACGCUAGCGGCAGGCUUAACACAUGCAAGUCGAGGGGCAGCAUAGAUUGUAGCAAUACAAUUGGUGGCGACCGGCGCACGGGUGCGUAACGCGUAUGCAACCUGCCCGUCACAGGGGGAUAAUCCGGAGAAAUCUGGUCUAAUACCCCAUAACAUAUGGAUCGGCAUCGGUUCAUGUUGAAAUUUUCGGAGGUGACGGAUGGGCAUGCGUAGCAUUAGCUUGUUGGUGAGGUAACGGCUCACCAAGGCGACGAUGCUUAGGGGGACUGAGAGGUUUUCCCCCCACACUGGUACUGAGACACGGACCAGACUCCUGCGGGAGGCAGCAGUGAGGAAUAUUGGACAAUGGGCGCAAGCCUGAACCAGCCAUGCCGCGUGCAGGAUGACGGCUCUAUGAGUUGUAAACUGCUUUUGUACGAGGGUAAAGUGGGUUACGUGUAACCUUUUGAAAGUAUCGUACGAAUAAGGAUCGGCUAACUCCGUGCCAGCCGCCGCCGUAA
RNAcentral lists this ribosomal RNA (504 nucleotides) under uncultured bacterium. RNAcentral describes it as "partial 16S ribosomal RNA". It matches the Rfam family "Bacterial small subunit ribosomal RNA", at positions 28 to 523 of the family's 1533-position model. The record is from RNAcentral.